GGGCGUGUAGCUCAGUGGGAGAGCACUUCCUUGACAUGGAAGGGGUCGUAGGUUCAAUCCCUGCCACGCCCACCA
Molecule: transfer RNA, 75 nt
Filed under: Alphaproteobacteria bacterium
Lineage: Bacteria; Pseudomonadati; Pseudomonadota; Alphaproteobacteria
Also listed under: 3 other names
Description: tRNA-Val
Rfam family: tRNA
About the family: Transfer RNA (tRNA) molecules are approximately 80 nucleotides in length. Their secondary structure includes four short double-helical elements and three loops (D, anti-codon, and T loops).
Source: RNAcentral